Molecule: RNA transcript, 4460 nt
Organism: Homo sapiens (human)
Lineage: Eukaryota; Metazoa; Chordata; Mammalia; Primates; Hominidae
Gene: CIBAR1
Gene name: CBY1 interacting BAR domain containing 1
Exons: 10
Source: RefSeq, marked validated
AGGCUCCCGGCGGCUGCUUGCGCCCCAGCGCGCGCCCAGGCGCCUUGGAAUCCCCGUCCUUGGGCCCCCGCAAGGUCCCCGGCCGUGCGCGAGGCAGCAUGAUGAGGCGCACCCUGGAAAACCGGAACGCUCAAACGAAACAACUGCAAACAGCUGUCUCAAAUGUGGAGAAGCAUUUUGGAGAACUGUGCCAAAUCUUCGCUGCCUAUGUGCGGAAAACUGCCAGGCUGAGAGACAAAGCAGACCUCCUGGUGAAUGAAAUUAACGCGUAUGCUGCUACAGAGACCCCGCAUUUAAAGCUGGGCCUGAUGAACUUUGCAGAUGAGUUUGCCAAACUUCAGGAUUAUCGACAAGCAGAGGUUGAAAGACUUGAAGCCAAAGUAGUUGAACCCUUGAAAACUUAUGGGACCAUUGUGAAAAUGAAACGGGAUGACCUCAAAGCAACACUCACAGCAAGGAAUCGAGAAGCUAAGCAAUUAACUCAGUUAGAAAGAACACGUCAGCGAAACCCAUCUGAUCGACAUGUUAUUAAAUAAAACAACUAUGUGACAUCAUGACUUCCAGCCAGUUAACCUCAGGAGUCUUAAGAGUAUAAUUAAGAUCCAAGUUGGACACAAACCUAGAAAGGACUGUCUACUAUAACAAGGUUGUUACUGCCCAGCUCAGCCAGAAACCACAUGAGGAGUGGCUCUUUGAGAGCAUUUGAGGUUCCAGAACACCUCCAUUCCUGAGGGGAGUCUCUUGAGCAGCGAUUUGGGGCUGCGCCAGUUGCUUGGUCCUUCUUCCUUUGGACCAAAGGCAGAAACGGAAUUACAGAGAGCUGCAAUGGAUGCUAGCCGAACAAGUCGUCAUCUGGAGGAAACUAUUAACAACUUUGAAAGGCAGAAAAUGAAGGAUAUAAAGACUAUAUUUUCUGAAUUUAUCACAAUCGAAAUGUUAUUUCACGGCAAAGCUUUAGAGGUCUACACUGCUGCCUACCAGAAUAUACAAAACAUUGAUGAAGAUGAAGAUUUAGAGGUUUUCCGAAAUUCUCUGUAUGCACCAGAUUAUUCAUCUCGUUUAGAUAUUGUAAGAGCAAAUUCAAAGUCACCUCUUCAGAGAUCACUGUCAGCUAAGUGUGUAUCUGGAACAGGACAGGUAUCCACUUGUCGACUAAGAAAGGAUCAACAAGCAGAAGAUGAUGAGGAUGACGAGUUAGAUGUUACAGAAGAAGAAAAUUUUCUUAAGUAAACUACACAUUUCCAUUUUCAUCAUAAAUGACUUGAAAUCCACAAUGACUAAAUUGUAGAACUUUAUACUCACUUUGCUAUGUUAAGCCUCAAAGUGAAGUCCAACUGGAAACAGAAAAAUAAUUAAAGGAAACUUAUGCUGACCAAAAAUGAAGGCUUUAAAAAAUAUUGCAUACCAGUCAUUUCAACAUCCUACCUAGUGUUACAUGAUUUUUGUGUAAGUGCCUUUUUUUUUAAAGAUGGUGUAUUUCAAAGUAUUUCAUAUUAAUGUACUAUAUCUACUUGAAGUUCCAAUAGUACAUUAUGACAGAAACCAAAAGAUCUAACAAUUCUGCUUAGCUUUUUGGUUAAGACUCCAUGCUUUCAUUACCAGAAAAGGGUCUUACGUAGUCAUUAUGAUUCAUGGAAUUCUAUUCCAUGAAGCCUUAAGAAAAAAAACUUUUUUUAACUUUCCCUGAAACUUUAUCAUUUGAUAAGUAAAUUUACUUUUCAAGAAGAGUAUAACCAAAGAGUAAAGAUAAUGUGACACUAAGUUAUCAAUGUUUUAUGAAUACACAUAAGGCAUAAAUUUCAGCUGUAAAAAAGCUACAUUCAAUCUGACUCUGGUUUUAAAACAAAACUGCUGUCAUAAUUAUACAUGAUACUGCAACUUUUGGAAGGCUAAUUUGGUGGAAUGUUGCCUCAUCAUAGAACACCAUAGAUCAUUAAAAAUUCUAUAAAAAUUUUACCAAGCUACCAUAUAGUUAAUAAAAGGGUAUACAGUCACUUUUAUUUCUGAAAAUAUAAAACAUUGAGCCUUUCAGUGUAUCUGAUGCUUCUCUUUUGGUAAGGAAUACUUUUAUUUCAUGGAUCCCAGGCAGGCAUAUAAAAGUUACGGAAUUUAUAAAAUCAUUUGGGAUAAUUAGAAAAUGCAAUUAUUCAUAACAGAAAAAUAAAGACUUUCUAGAAAGCUUCUGACUUUGUCAAUCAUGGCUCUGUUCUUAACAAAGCACUCCUUCCUGAGAAUAGUCCUAAGUGACAAAGUUGUUUCAGUACUUUUUUGUAAAAUAUUUAAAACAUUUUAAAACCCUAAAUUGAUAUUCUUAAGAAACUCAAGAUAUCAUUGGAUAUUUACUGCUUCCUCACUCAGUAUUUAAAUUUGGUUGUACUUCGGGGGAAAACAACAGAGUUAUUAUUUUGCUGCUUACUAAAUAGCAACUUCUCUUGAGCAUUAUUUGCCUUGUUUGUAAAGUUAAAACUGCGUAAAACAGUAAUUCUGGAAUAAAACAUACAUUCUGCCUACCUCAAAGAAAUAUUCUAAGAACAAAAGGAAUACUAUCCAUGAAAAUACUUUCAUUAAUGUAAAAUUUUCAUUAUUUAGACCAGCCUAGGUUGGCAAACUUCUUAAAGGGCCAGAUAGCAAAUACUGUUAUUCUUCGUGGGUUUAGGCAAAUUCAAGACUAUUAUACAGGUAACUAUGUAACCAUGUAAGACUUAAGUACACUUAAAAAAUGUGAAAAACCAUUCCUAGCUUCCACUACAACAACAACAAAAAACAGGCAACCAAUCCAACCAACCCAGCCUGUAAGUCUCCAUCUCUUAUCUCCAAAAUAGGAAUACAAAUUGAGUAUCCUUUAUCUGAAGUGCUUGGGACCAGAAGUAUUUAAGACUUUGGAUUUCUUCAGAUUUUGGAGUAUUUGCAUUAUACCAGUUCAACAUUCCUAACCCAAAAAUCUGAAAUCUUAAAUGCUGCAAUGAGCAUUUUCUUUGAGCAUCAUGUUGGCACUCAAAAAGUUUGUGAUUUUCGGAGCAUGUGAAAUUUCAGAUUACCAGAUUAGGAAUACUCAACCUGUAGUACAUUUACUAGGAUUAUCAGAAUUAAAUGAUAGUUAAUUCAUACAUAAUUAUACAUCAUAUAGUAUCUAAUACAGCUCAAUAAACAACAGCUAAUAUUUACUGCAAAAACAGAGGCAGCAAGGUCACUACUUAACAGGUGAUAUAUGGAUCAAGAAUCACUGCUCUUAACAGUGAUCUCAGUAAAUUAAUAGAAAUGCACUCCUAACAUGAUUUUUACCUAUCUCUUGGUUGUGGGAUUGACUUUCUAGACAUGAUCUACAUUUUUUUAGAUAAUUUCUAGACAAAAAUGUUUGGCUUUAAGACAAAUGCCACUGGGUAUCAGGCUAGAGAAUACACCUCCAGUGUACCUGGUAUACCUUGAGGAUAGGAGAGGAAAAACUGGCUAUGAGACGACAAUUACUGAAGCUGAGUGAUGUGUACAUGAAAAUUUACUAUUCUUUUUUUAUAUUUGAAAUUGAUGAGGUGCUGGGAAGCUGGCUUUCUGAGGGGACAACAGGAGGGGAAUUCCUUGAUUUGCUGCAUUUAUCACUUUCCAUGGUGUAAAAUACUCCUGCCAUGGCCAAUUUGUUAUUGACAUAUCACUAAAGGCAGAGUUGGAGAGAGAUGUGCAAAGAUGGCUCCCAACUAGAAGAUACCACUUUCUGUAAUCAACUUUUUAUAAUGAAGUUUAAAAAUAUUAAGCCCUGAUACAUUAUAGGGUAAAAGGAAAUAUUCAUAUAAAUUAAUUUAAAAAUCAAAAUACAAGGCUGGGCACAGUGGCUCACACCUGUAAUCCCAACACAUUCUGGGAGACCAAGGAGUGAGGAUUGCUUGAGGCCAGAAAUUUGAGAACAGCCUGGGCAACACAGUGAGACUCUGUCUCUACAAAUAAUAAAAAAUUUAGCCAGACAAGGUGGCACACACCUGUAGUCCCAGCUCUCAGGAGGCUGAGGCAGGAAGACAGCUUGAGCCCAGGAGUUAGAAGCUGCAGUGAACCAUUAUCAGACCACUGCACUCCAGCCUGGCCAGCAGAACAAGACUCUGACUCUUAAAAUAAUAAAACUACAAAGCUUAUGUUUACUCUAGCUGGCCUCUUAUCUACCACCACCAUCCCACCUCAGCCCAGUUUGAAAUGCAAUUCCACAGUAAGUAAUCCCUCACGUUAAGCUUCAUCUUAGCUUUAUUCCUUUGUAUCUGAGAAGCAUUUUUUAACUUUCCAUAUAUUAUUCAAAAUGGGUGACCAAAUGAACCAUCUAUACAAUCUUUGCUCAAUUAAAAAUAUCAUUUCUACUUUCUUCAUUGUGCUUGGUUUGGAUAUUCCAAACAAUCAAUUUAACAUUAUCCUAGCUACUUACAAGCUUAUACUUUAAAGAAUCAUACUGAGGUGCUUUUUCAUAUCAAAUUUACCUGUUUAUU